Molecule: ribosomal RNA, 474 nt
Filed under: uncultured bacterium
Lineage: Bacteria
Description: bacterial SSU rRNA
Rfam family: Bacterial small subunit ribosomal RNA
Source: RNAcentral
CAGGCCUAACACAUGCAAGUCGAACGGUGGUAGCAAUACCAUAGUGGCGCACGGGUGCGUAACACGUAACUAACCUGCCCAAGACUGGGGGAUAGCCCGCCGAAAGGCGGAUUAACACCGCAUAAUAUUAUUGGGUGGCAUCACUCGAUAAUUAAAUCUACGGAGGUUCUGGAUGGGGCUGCGGGUCAUUAGCUAGUUGGUGGGGUAACGGCCCACCAAGGCGACGAUGACUAGGGGAGCUGAGAGGCUGGUCCCCCACACGGGCACUGAGAUACGGGCCCGACUCCUACGGGAGGCAGCAGUAGGGAAUAUUGGGCAAUGGGCGAGAGCCUGACCCAGCCAUGCCGCGUGCAGGACGAAGGCUUUCUGAGUCGUAAACUGCUUUUGACAGGGAAGAAUAAGCUGCUCGUGAGCAGUGAUGACGGUACCUGCAGAAUAAGCACCGGCUAACUCCGUGCCAGCAGCCGCGGUAAU